RNAcentral lists this ribosomal RNA (360 nucleotides) under uncultured bacterium. RNAcentral describes it as "bacterial SSU rRNA". It matches the Rfam family "Bacterial small subunit ribosomal RNA", at positions 29 to 377 of the family's 1533-position model. The record is from RNAcentral.
AAUGAACGCUGGCGGCGCGCCUAAUACAUGCAAGUCGAGCGAGAAGACGUAGCAAUACGUUUGUAAAGCGGCGAACGGGUGAGGAAUACAUGGGUAACCUACCCUCGAGUGGGGAAUAACUAGCCGAAAGGUUAGCUAAUACCGCGUACGCUCCUUGGACUUCGGUUCAGGGAGGAAAGCGAUACCGUGGGGUAUCGCGCUCUUGGAUGGGCUCAUGUCCUAUCAGCUUGUUGGUGAGGUAACGGCUCACCAAGGCUUCGACGGGUAGCUGGUCUGAGAGGACGAUCAGCCACACUGGCACUGCGACACGGGCCAGGACUCCUACGGGAGGCAGCAGUAAGGAAUAUUGCGCAAUGGGCG